UUGUUUCUUCUAAUGUUAUUGUUUUUAGGCCUUAGAAUGUAGCUUUAGUAAUCUAUGGCUUUUGAGUUUUGGAAUGAAAGUUACACUUUUACUAAUAGCUUCAUUUAGUAGUAAAUGUUGUCUAAUUUGGUUAGU
Long non-coding RNA from Telopea speciosissima, 135 nucleotides. RefSeq lists it as uncharacterized. Lineage: Eukaryota; Viridiplantae; Streptophyta; Magnoliopsida; Proteales; Proteaceae. The transcript is spliced from 2 exons. The record is from RefSeq and is a predicted model, not a curated record.